Molecule: unclassified non-coding RNA, 256 nt
Filed under: uncultured fungus
Lineage: Eukaryota; Fungi
Description: sequence contains ITS2
Source: RNAcentral
AACGCACAUUGCGCCCGUUAGUAUUCUGACGGGCAUGCCUGUCCGAGCGUCAUUUCAACCCUUAAGCCCAGCUUAGCGUUGGCGGACUACGGCGCCCCCAGGGGCACUGUAGCCGCCCAAAUCCAUUGGCGGUCCCGCCGCGGCUCCCUUGCGUAGUAGCUCAACCUCGCACCGGGCCCGGGCGGCGACCUCGCCGUAAAACCCCCACUAUAACAAGGUUGACCUCGGAUCAGGUAGGAAUACCCGCUGAACUUAA